This 460-nucleotide ribosomal RNA is filed under the name uncultured bacterium. RNAcentral's name for it is "partial 16S ribosomal RNA". It matches the Rfam family "Bacterial small subunit ribosomal RNA", at positions 338 to 795 of the family's 1533-position model. The record is from RNAcentral.
CCUACGGGAGGCAGCAGUGAGGAAUAUUGGUCAAUGGGCGCGAGCCUGAACCAGCCAAGUCGCGUGAGGGAGGACGGCCCUACGGGUUGUAAACCUCUUUUGCCGGGGAGCAAUGGGGGCCACGUGUGGCGUCAGUGAGAGUACCCGGAGAAAAAGCAUCGGCUAACUCCGUGCCAGCAGCCGCGGUAAUACGGAGGAUGCGAGCGUUAUCCGGAUUUAUUGGGUUUAAAGGGUGCGUAGGCGGAUUGUGAAGUCAGCGGUAAAAUUGCGGGGCUCAACCCCGUCCUGCCAUUGAAACUGGCGUUCUUGAGUGGAAGAGAAGUAUGCGGAAUGCGUGGUGUAGCGGUGAAAUGCAUAGAUAUCACGCAGAACCCCGAUUGCGAAGGCAGCAUGCCGGCUUCCGACUGACGCUGAAGCACGAAAGCGUGGGGAUCGAACAGGAUUAGAUACCCCUGUAGUC